This 301-nucleotide ribosomal RNA is filed under the name uncultured bacterium. RNAcentral describes it as "partial 16S ribosomal RNA". It matches the Rfam family "Bacterial small subunit ribosomal RNA", at positions 509 to 807 of the family's 1533-position model. The record is from RNAcentral.
CAGUAGCCACGGUAAUACGAAGGUCCCGAGCGUUGUUCGGAAUCACUGGGCGUAAAGGGAGCGUAGGCGGCGUGGUAAGUCAGAUGUGAAAUCCCGGGGCUCAACCCCGGAACUGCAUCCGAUACUGCCGUGCUAGAGGAUUGGAGAGGUAGCUGGAAUUCUUGGUGUAGCAGUGAAAUGCGUGGAGAUCAAGAGGAACACUCGUGGCGAAAGCGAGCUACUGGACAAUAUCUGACGCUGAGGCUCGAAGGCCAGGGUAGCGAAAGGGAUUAGAUACCCCCGUAGUCCCUGUCUCUUAUAC